Molecule: small RNA, 20 nt
Filed under: Arabidopsis thaliana (thale cress)
Lineage: Eukaryota; Viridiplantae; Streptophyta; Magnoliopsida; Brassicales; Brassicaceae
Description: Ath_wt_09656
Source: RNAcentral
GUCGCUGCCGUGAUCGUGGU